Molecule: long non-coding RNA, 764 nt
Filed under: Hordeum vulgare
Lineage: Eukaryota; Viridiplantae; Streptophyta; Magnoliopsida; Poales; Poaceae
Description: long non-coding RNA (HVUL_LNC000511)
Source: RNAcentral
GGGGGGCUGGGGGGCUGGGGAGGGACAAACAUAUACUAAAGCACCGAAGAUACUUCAGAAUUAACAUGAGCUACGGUUUAAUCUGAAAUCACAUAUAAAAAAUAAUGACUGCGCACUUGUAAAAACAGGCUGCCAUUGACUGAAGGUACGGAGCAGUACUUGACUGAAUGCCCAGCGAGCUAGGAAUUGAGUAGUUACAACUUCCAAGUACUCCAUUAUCAGGUUUCCGGCCGACUGGCCAGAUUCGCUAUGAAUUCCAGUGCUCAGAUCCAUAGCUUCUUCCUCCUACUAUGUGCUAUUCGUUUGCUCCAUCAAUCUAAUCUAGCUAAGCUUCUGGGCCAUUGGUUAUAUUUAUGUGACUGUACCAUGGACAGUCCAGAUGCAAGGGGCAGCCGGCCUAACAUUGCUACAGGCUCUCGCAAAGAGUUAUUUGUCCACAGGACGCCUCUGCAUACAUACAUCUUAUCUGUAUUCAUCAUUAUUGCUGGACCAUAUAGCCAGGUAAAAUGCUUUCAACACAGACCCCAAUAAACAAGCGUACAACAUAGAUAUCUGGAGCAGGUAUGCUCGGGAGCCAUAUCACCAAUUCACCAUGCCCUGAGAUAUAGCCGUUUUGCUUAGAUUUUUUUUUUCUUGAACCAUGCAGGAGAGCUGCAUGUAAUUCAUCAAGAAUAAAGAGAUAGGCGGCACAACCUUACAUCGCCAAGGAUGGCAUGACCCAAACAACACGUCAACAUCACAACCCUUUUAUGAUGAAAGGACNN